UGGGGAAUAUUGCACAAUGGGGGAAACCCUGAUGCAGCGACGCCGCGUGAGCGAAGAAGGUUUUCGAAUCGUAAAGCUCUGUCCUAUGAGAAGAUAAUGACGGUAUCAUAGGAGGAAGCCCCGGCUAAAUACGUGCCAGCAGCCGCGGUAAUACGUAUGGGGCGAGCGUUGUCCGGAAUUAUUGGGCGUAAAGGGUACGUAGGCGGUCUAAUAAGUCAGGUGUGAAAGCGUGAGGCUUAACCUCAUUAAGCACUUGAAACUGAUAGACUUGAGUGAAGGAGAGGAAAGUGGAAUUUCUAGUGUAGCGGUGAAAUGCGUAGAUAUUAGGAGGAAUACCGGUGGCGAAGGCGACUUUCUGGACUUUUACUGACGCUCAGGUACGAAAGCGUGGGGAGCAAACAGG
This 403-nucleotide ribosomal RNA is filed under the name Verrucomicrobiota bacterium. Its description in RNAcentral is "Verrucomicrobia bacterium partial 16S ribosomal RNA". It matches the Rfam family "Bacterial small subunit ribosomal RNA", at positions 355 to 776 of the family's 1533-position model. Lineage: Bacteria; Pseudomonadati; Verrucomicrobiota. The record is from RNAcentral.